GGAAGUAAAAGUCGUAACAAGGUUUCCGUAGGUGAACCUGCGGAAGGAUCAUUACUGAUUUAGCGAACCGAGCAUUAGCGAGGUUUUGCGAUCAAAUUAUAUUUAAAACCCACUCUUUAAUGUAUAAAAUUUGUACUAUGAUAAAUUAAAAGAUCACUUUCAACAACGGAUCUCUUGGCUCUCGCAUCGAUGAAGAACGUAGCGAAGUGCGAUAAGUAAUGUGAAUUGCAGUAUUCCGUGAAUCAUCGAAUCUUUGAACGCAUAUUGCACUUUCUGGUAUUCCGGAAAGUAUGCCUGUUUGAGGGUCAGUUAAAUAAAAAUCGGUGUUGUUGCUGCCUUUCGUGGUGACGCGUCGGAAUUGAGUUGUCUUACCCUUCGGUUAAGUGACUUAAAAUUUUGCAUGAUUUUCGAACGUAUUUAAAUUUAUUUGAACGUUUGAUAUCGAAUGCUUAUUAGGUUCGGUCAUCCUCAUGACUCGCGCCUAUAAUUUUUCAUUAAAUGACCUCAAAUCAGGUAAGAAUACCCGCUGAACUUAAGCAUAUCAAUAAGCGGAGGA
This 556-nucleotide ribosomal RNA is filed under the name uncultured Glomus. Its description in RNAcentral is "eukaryotic LSU rRNA". The stretch from base 155 to 308 matches the Rfam family "5.8S ribosomal RNA". The record is from RNAcentral. Lineage: Eukaryota; Fungi; Glomeromycota; Glomeromycetes; Glomerales; Glomeraceae.